GAUGAACGCUGGCGGCGUGCCUAACACAUGCAAGUCGAACGGAAAGGCCCUGCUCUUGUGCGGUGCUCGAGUGGCGAACGGGUGAGUAACACGUGUGUAUCCUGUCCUUGUCUUUGGGAUAACUCCAGGAAACUGGGGCUAAUAUCGGAUAGGAGAUCUUGCUGCAUGGUGGGGGAUGGAAAGUUUCGGCGGUUGGGGAUGGUCUCGCGGCUUAUCGGCUUGUUGGUGGGGUAGUGGCUUUCCAAGGUUUUGACGGGUAGGCGGCCUGGGAGGGUGACCGGGGACAAUGGGACUGAGAGAGGGCGCAGACGGCAACGGGAGGCAACGGGGGGGAGUAUUGCGCAGUGGGCGGGAGCCUGAUGCGGCGGCGCCGGGUGCGGAAUGACGGCCUUCGAGUUAUGAACCGCUUUCGCCUGUGACAAAGCGUGAGUGACGGUAAUGGAUAAAAAAGCACCGGCUAACUACGUG
RNAcentral lists this ribosomal RNA (468 nucleotides) under uncultured bacterium. RNAcentral describes it as "partial 16S ribosomal RNA". It matches the Rfam family "Bacterial small subunit ribosomal RNA", at positions 28 to 507 of the family's 1533-position model. The record is from RNAcentral.